Molecule: ribosomal RNA, 449 nt
Filed under: uncultured bacterium
Lineage: Bacteria
Description: partial 16S ribosomal RNA
Rfam family: Bacterial small subunit ribosomal RNA
Source: RNAcentral
AAUGAACGCUGGCGGCAUGCCUAACACAUGCAAGUCGAACGAGACCUUCGGGUCUAGUGGCGCACGGGUGCGUAACGCGUGGGGAUCUGCCCUUGGGUUCGGAAUAACUCGCCGAAAGGCGUGCUAAUACAGGAUGAUGACGUAAGUCCAAAGAUUUUUCGCCCAAGGAUGAGCCCGCGUAGGAUUAGCUAAUUGGUGGGGUAAAGGCCCACCAAGGCGACGAUCCUUAGCUGGUCUGAGAGGAUGAUCAGCCACACUGGGUCUGAGACGCGGCCCAGACUCCUUCGGGAGGCGGCAGUGGGGAAUAUUGGACAAUGGGCGAAAGCCUGAUCCAGCAAUGCCGCGUGAGUGAUGAAGGCCUUAGGGUUGUAAAGCUCUUUUACCCUGGAUGAUAAUGACAGUACCGGGAGAAUAAGCCCCGGCUAACUCCGUGCCAGCCGCCGCGGUAA